Diospyros lotus (date-plum) is the source of this 7081-nucleotide long non-coding RNA. RefSeq lists it as uncharacterized. The record is from RefSeq and is a predicted model, not a curated record. The transcript is spliced from 4 exons. Lineage: Eukaryota; Viridiplantae; Streptophyta; Magnoliopsida; Ericales; Ebenaceae.
GCAGUGAUCCUAGAAGAGCACGGAGUUCGUGCCGAAGCAGAGAUGAGGCUUCGAUGCAGGUAAGGGAUAGCCCAAUGUGGAGGUGGCCUUGCAAGUUGGUAAAUAUGCUUGAUAAUGUUUUUAUGUUGCAUUGGCAUGUAGUGGUUAUAUCUUGUGUGAUGCAAGACCUAGUGGACCAAUGGCCAUAUGGAGGACUAGUGUGGUGGGGGCUGAUAGGUUGAUGCCUCAAACCUUAGUGGGUUGUGAGGAUGUGUGGGCCUAGCCUCAUUUGCAUGCAUUGGGCAUACAUAAACAUCUUUAUAUUCAUAUUUACAUGCAUUGAACCCUUACUGAGUCUUUAUGACUCAUGAGGUUUUACCUCAUGUGUAGAUAAUACAAGUCCAGAUGCAAGCAGGGAUGGUGCCAGGAGGCUGUUGUGGCAAUUAGCUUGUUACCUGAGAUGUGUUGUUGUGUAAUCUCUUGUAAUUUUUAUAUGUAAUCAUGUAAUCGAAUGUAAACGAUAUUGAGCAAUAGAUGUAUUUAAUGGUUGAAAUCAUCGUAGUGUGAUAAAUGAUUGUGAGAUUGUUCGUGGUAUAUGGCUUAGUUGGAGAAGCUGAGUUUCGGAUCGAGUAAAAAUCAUCGAGGUAUGUUCUCAUGAAUCCCCAAUACUCAGCGAAAUGUUUAUUAUGCUAGCUUUGUGCCUAGGUCACCUCUGGCUUGCUAUGGGGCUAGCUGAAGAGAGGUGAAGCUCACUCGGGUUUCGGGUCUCGGUCCGCUGAGUUUUUCCUUGUUUGUGUUGAGACCGAUUCUUGAGUGGAGCAAAGGGAAGGAUGAAGCCUAGUUCCCACCUAGGGCGUUUCCUGUUGAAACAUAGUCCAACCCUUCAGUUGUGGUUGAUAGGUGAGUAAUCUGGUCGAUUAUUUACCGGUGGCGCUCGUAAGUGGGAGAGGGUCGUUACAACUAGACGCAUCCAAAUACGGCUUAAGGCAUCCGGAUAUCACUCACAAAACUUAUUGGACUCAUUCGGAUACGAGUCAAGGCAUCUUGAUAUUACUUAAAAUAAACAUUGGACACAUCCGGAUACGAUACAAAGCAUCUGGAUAUUACAAGGGUUAUCCGGGUACGAAUAAGGGCCAUACGGAUACCACUCACAGAGAUCGAACAAGCUAUCCGAAUAUGCGUAUAGGUCAUCCAGAUAUAACAAGAGCCAUUCGGAUACGCAUUGUGCCAUCCGGAUGUCACUUACAUAAAUCUUUUUCAACCAUCCAGAUGUGCACUGAUCCAUCCGGAUGCUACUCACAAUCUUUGAACAACCUAUCUGGAUAUUGGGAAACUCAUCCUAAUGUUUGCAUAUUAAUAACAUAGAUACGAACAAUUACAGAGAUCAUUUUCUGAUGCAACUUGUAACAAAUCUACAUCAUUUCGAAAGAAAACUUGGGAAAACAAAUCCCAAAUGACAUGAAACAAUCACGGAGAUGAUUCAAAGAUCAUAUUAGAAGAAAUCGCUAUAAAGAAACAUGCAUGACUUUGACAAAAACUCACUGUAAGUAUAUAUAUAUAUACAUCUCUAUAACUAAUAUAACUCUAAAAAUAUGAGAACAAAAACUUAAUCAAAAAAUCUGUAAGAAAGGUUUACAGGGGAAAGAUACUUGGCUUACGAUCUUCUUGAUCAACUCAACGUUUCAACAUAAAUCUCCUAUGCAAGACACUGUUGCAACUCACAAUCUUCCUUCUCCCUCUACAGUGUGUAGUACCCAGUAUUACAUGGUAUUGAAAAAUAAAUAAAUUUUGAUUAUUUGAAGGGACCUCGGGUGGUCCGGGAAGCCGAAAGUCGGUUUUGAGAAAUUAAUUAAUGAAAUUUAUCGAGUUGGUGGUAGGGAGUGCCUUGGGACUUGGAUGUCCAGGGAAGAGGGCAAGAGAUUGGUGAGCGUCUCGAAGUGAGGCUUAUGGCGCUAGAAGCAGUCCAAACGGGAAUAAUUUUUGAAAUAAAUUAUGUAUAAACCCGAGUGGGGUGCUAGUACUAAAUGGUUACAAGGGACCUCCUGGAAGCUGAGGGGACCCUAGGGGUGGUUCGAUUUUCUGAGUAAGGCAACUCUUGAGUGUUUUCGGGUCAAAUAAAUGUCCCGUGUAGGCGUAGGGACAAAAUUGAUAUCCCAGAGUAAGUGUCGGUUAUUAAUUUUUGGGAAAAUCAAGUCUUGAUGUUAAUAAUUUAAAGCUUGGAGGGACCAAGUGUAAUUAAUAGAUCUCCAAGUGCAAUUAGUGAAACCCUUAAGCGAUAUUAUUAAAAAAUUAAAGGGUUAAAUGUAUGAAAAUCAUAUAUAGAUAUUUAUAUAGUGUGGGCGAGGGAAGCUUCCAGGAAGCCUCAUAUGUCUCUACCAUUUUGAAAUGGCCGAGAGGAAGGAACCAGAGAGUGAGGAAGAGAGAGCUCGCGUGAGAUAAAGAGAGAGAGCAUUGCCGAGAGAAAGGGAGUCGAGCCAAGAGCAGUCGAGAGUGAGAGAUAGAGUGUGAGGGAGAGCUUGAAGCCCAACUGGUCAUGGCAGUCGCUGCCAUGGCCGACGAUGAUGAGAAGGAACCAAGGCGGUUCUACGUCGUGCAAGGGUGGUCGACCAAUGGCUAGCAACAGCUGGAAGCUGCUAGAGGUGGCAGCGAGCGGCGUCAGAGGCUAUCUUGGCCGAUCGACGAUGCUGGUUUCGCUGUGGGCAGGGGAGGUUGGCCAUGGCGAUUGCAGCGGCUGAGGCGCACGAGGAGGCUGGAAGGAGGCAGGCGGUGGUUGCGGUGACUCGGAGGUGAAGCUCGCGGCCAGAAUGGCCGUGCGUAGCAGCGGCUCUGUGCGUUUGGGCCGGUGAUGGCUGGAGGCUCGGGAGGUCGCGGUGGUGGCUGUGGUGGAGGCCGCCCUACGCGACUGAGUUGGGGCAUUGAUGGCGUUGUGAGCAACGGUGUUGGCCGAUGGUGGCGACCGAAGAGGCCAGUAACGAUGGUGGCCAGCGUGCUGGUGUUGUGCGCGCAAGCUCGGUGAAGAAGAAGAAGGAGGAGGAGCGUGCACAGGAAAUGUUGGAGGAAGAAGAACAGUAGAAGAGGAAAGAAAAUAAAAGAAAAAGGAAAAGAAAAGAAAAUGAAAGAAAAUCUAAAAAAUUUAGGAAAAACAAGGAAAAAUUCUAGAAAAAUUGGAGAAUAGUCUGGAAAUUAUUUUGAAACUCGAGAAGCGUGCCAGAGGCUUGAAAUCGAAGAUUUGGGCAUGAGAUGUCAAUUAAGGAGGCAACGCUGGUGUGGGCGAUUGGCCGAGUUUCUUUUCCAGAUUGACUAAGGUAAGUUAAUUAAUUCUUUUCAGAAUAUUUCCUUUAUGUGAGAUAUUAAACUAUGUAGUGUUGAUUGGAUUGAACCCUCGGGUGGGGUUUAUUAGGAGUGUUGUUGGGCGAUGUUUGCGAUGUGUGGCGAAGUUGAGGGCAUUGGUUUAAUGCCGAAUGUUAAUGGAGUUGGGUUUGUGUGUGUUUGCAUCUAGGUUCAUCUGGGGAGGCGGUGAUCCUAGAAGAGCUCAGAGUUUGGGCUGACAUUCUUACCCGAGGCAGGAAUGAAGCUUCAAUCCAGAUAAUACGAGUCUAGAUGCAAGCAGGGAUGGUGCUGGGAGGCUGUUGUGGUAAUUAUCAUUGUUUCCUGAGAUGUGUUGUUGUGUAUUUUCAUAUAUGUAUUUAUGUAAUUGAAUGUAAGCGAUAUUGAGCACUAGAGGUGUCUAGUUGUUGUAAUCAUAAUAGUGUGAUAGAUGAUUGUGAGUUUGCGUGAUGUAUAUGUGGCUUUAGUUGUUGAAGCCAAAUUUAGACCGAGUAAUGAUCAACGAGGUAUGUUUUCAUAAAUCCCCAAUACUUAGCGAAGUGUUUGUUAUACUAACUUUGUGCCCGGGUCACCUUUGGCUUGCUAUGAGGCGAACUGAAGAGAGGUGAAGCUCACUCGGGUUUAUGGUCUCGGUCCGCUGUGCUUUCUUGUUUGUGUUGGAUCGAUUCCUGAGUGGAGCGAAUGAAAGGGCAAAACCUAGUUCACACCUAGGGCGUUUCCCCUUAAAACAUAGUCCAACCCUUCAGUUGUGGUUUGUUGGGUGAGUAAUCCGGUUGAUUAUUUACCGGCGACGCCCAUAAGUGGGAGCGGGUCAUUACACGGUGUGAGAAAAUAUACACUCUAUGAACAUAUGUAUAAGAAGCAACCCUAGAAGCCCAUAUCCUUAUCUCCUUAUAUAACUUGAAGAACUUCCAAUUCCUAUUCACGCACGGAUCUACCCAUCCAUAAUAUCUCUAAUUAAAUAAUUUCUAAUAAUAUGAAAUUAUUAUUUACAUUCUUGCCCUUGAUUAUUUUUCACAUAAUCUAACUGCAAUUAAAUGUUAUUCUCCUAUUUAAAAAAUUGCUAAAUUGCCAUUUUAAAUAAAAUAUAACCCCUCUAACGGGUCGUUACACCCCAUGCCCUGGAGCCUAUGUUGGGCCUUACGGCGACCCUCUCUAAAGGUGGUAGGUGGUUGGCGAGCGAUCGAAGUGGUGGUCAACGCCUGGCUAUGGCUAUUUUUAAAAAAUUAGACUUUAACCCCUCCAAACUUUAAAAUUAUACAUUUGAGCCAUUCCAUGCAAUCCUUUGAGUUUCUAAAAAUUCCACAAUGAACCCCUAAAUUUUCUCCUUUACAUUUUAUCCCUUAAGUUUCGUUUUACUACUUUUGGCCAAGUUUCAUAAAUUACACUUAGGCCCAAAUAUAUGCAAAAUCACUUUUUUUUUUAUCACGAAUUUGUUUGUUUCAUCCUGAAACUACUUCAGGGUUAUUCCUUAUGCAAAACUUGAAUCCUCUCGGGGUUUUGUUGACUUUUUAAAAGUCUCUUACGACCAUUCGAUUUUUUAGCUUGAUCAUAGUUAUACUGAAAAUUAUCUCUAUUCCAAUUUCUUUCAGUGCCAUAAAUCUUGUUUUGAGACACUCGUCAAUCCCAUUUCCUUUUUUGAAGGUAUUUAAGUUUCAAAAUAUUCUCUGUAAUUGAUUUAGUCACUCAUAACUCCGAGAAAUUACACUAUAACCAUAAAACUUUUAAAAAUUCUUUUUUUUGCCCAAGACAAAUUAUUCCUAAAUCUUUUAAAAAAUUUUGGGUAAUACAUUGUUAGCUAGGGAGCUUCUCCCUUUCAAUAUGCAAAGUAAAAAAAUAUAAAAAAAUAAUUGUUGCAUCUUAAAAGAUAAAUUUAAUGUACUAAAACCUUACAUAUUUAUAAUGCCGUCAUAUGUUUUACUUUGGGGAUUGGGCCCUGGACUGGUCGAUCAGAAUUAAUAUUUAUGCGAAACUUAAAGUAGUAACCCCUCUUCAUGUGGAAAAAAAAAAUCUUCAUAAACUCAAUGUAAUAGUACCUAAAUAGAGAUAAAACUUAAUUAUGAGGAAUAUUCUACAAGUCACCUUAUGUUAGUUUCAUGUCAACUUCUAAAACACGAUUUACACGUUAGGCAUCACUUUCAUACUAAGAACAACAAAGCGUGUCUAUGUUUUCACCAUAACAGAAUCCUAUUUCCUUAUGAGAAGUCGUGAGAGAAAUGUGAAAAAAUGGAGAGGAUAUGAUGGCGGAAUAUCUAUAUUAAUUUCAGUUUUCAAAUCCAAGUGAAGCCAAAUGCAAGGCCUAUUGUUUCGUAUCCACAAUCAUGAACAAGUACGCUAGCUUCUGCGGCAUAAAAACUCGUGGCGCCUUCACAGACCGCUUAUGUUUUAGAAAUAAAAAUUCAUUAAUUACGGGGUUGACCGUAAUCGAUAAAUUUGAAGUAGAAUUAAUUGCAAUUUGACCCGCUAAACCUGUUGGUAAUUAUUGCCGACGACAAGGCAUACCACCCACCAAACAUACAAGCCAGGUCCAGUUCUACCUCCCAUGAUAAACACCUCCCCAUAUAUGUGCGUGCACAUGUAUGUGUGUGUCGAAUCAACCAAGUAGCGUGCCUAACUAAAAUAUUUCUUUAAACCACAAAUUCAGUCAGUCGUCAGACGAAAGCGACACCUUAACAUAUAUAUUUUUAUAUAUACAUCUAAUCGGAUAUGAACGGACCAAGAAAUAAAAAGUGUUAAAUCAAUGGGCGGUGUUUAAAAGAGGGACGCAAUGAUUUUUCUUUGUUUAUGGAUGUCAUCGUUCCCAGUAACACCUUGGAUAGAAAGGCACGUUUUACGGAAGCCCAAUGAGACAGUUGCUUUCGAGGAUAUAGCAAAAUCCUAAACUAUGGUCAGAGGGGCGACUCCUAAUUCCCCAGCCAUACCCAUCUCUCUCUUCCUCGAAUCUACUUAAACUAGAUCGACAUGUCUGCUUUAGGAUGGAUCAUGCUUUAUUGAUCGCAGCUCAGGUAAAAUUAAUUUGAUGGGAUUAAGGCUGGCAUAUGACAAGGAAGACAGAGAUGGAAUGGGACGCGAGUACAGAUACCGGGACAUUGUGAAGACAUGCAUGGGGUGCUUGGUUUCACUGCUGACAAGCAUGAUGGGGGGAUUGAUCUUAGCUUGGUGGGAAUGGAAUUACCAUCCCACAAAUAGCCAGCUGUGGAUGGUGCCUUCGGGUCUCAUUCUUCUAGUGACGCCUCUCACCGUCUCCUUCUCGGCCUGCCUUUCCGACUGCUUCAGUCCCAAAGAAUCGGCCGCUUCAAGUCUCAAGGAACCUGUCAUGUCUUUGGAUAACACAUGAUCCAUGUAUACAUACAAGAUCCAGCCUUGAUGAUUUUCCUUCUUCUUGUAAUUUCUCUCGCAUCUCCCUCUUGCUCAUUUCUAUCUGUGAUCCAUGGAUCGUUGUGGCAGCAGGAUUUCUAUAUUGAAACUAAGGGCGUUGACUUUGAGACAAAUUAAUUAAGCUGGAUCUUGAGACAAGCAAGGCAAAUAGAAAAUUUUUAUGCAGAUGUUUUUACGUAAUGUAUAUAUAGAACAUUAGUUUUCCUUUCUUUCAAUUUUCCCUUCUGUAGUUAAAUAAAUCAGCAUAAUAUAUACAUCCAAAGACAAAAACGAAAACUACGGUGGUGGGAUCCUAGCAGUUGGGAAAGCACUGCAGUUGCUGGUGUAGAGAGAUUAAAUCAUAUAGUAUCCUCAAAUAUGAUCUACUUGUAAUAAUAGACUUAAUAAUACAUAGCAA